UUAUGUGAUGCACAUUGUAACAAAACCAGUAGUGUGUGAGUUAUCGCAUCAUUUCCUGUUCUGACAGGAAGAAGAAACCAGUGCCAUUACUGCAUUCUCAUCGUGCCAUUCGCUGAAGACGCUGGAGAGCGACCGCACACGGCCGGACACACGUGACGCUAGCGUGAAGAGCACCGAGACAUCGAGUCCUGCACACACACACCAGUGUGUGACGGUGGUGUAUUGUUACGAUGGAGAGCUGGUCCCGUACAGGACGUGUGUUCAGGGAGUCUCCGCGGUCACUCUCGGCCUCUUCAAGUCUCUGCUGACGCGCAGGGGCUCGUUCAGGUUCUUCUUCAAGAGAGCGAGCGCUGAGUUCGACUGCGGAGCGGUUCAUGAGGAGGUACGAGAGGACCACGCCGUCCUGCCCACGUUUGACCACAAAAUCAUGGCCAGAGUGGAGAGAAUGACCAAAACAACGAUCACAAACCUCUGAACACAAGCACUGUUCUGAACAAACUCUGUCUGAUUUAACUCUAUAUGCGCUUGAGUUUCAGUGUGCUGCUUUUGAAUAAAGUCAUUCAUUCAUGUUUCUUCUCAUAUCACCCUACAGUCAUAUUACAGUCCACAAUAAAAGUCUGAGAUCUCUUCUUACUCUCCAUCUGUGAGUGUUGCUUCUAUACUCUAUUAUCAUAUAUCUAUAUGCAUCUUUAUUAUGAAUUAUAAACACUGUUGUUGAAAGGUUUAG
This is a long non-coding RNA of Carassius carassius (crucian carp), 727 nucleotides long. RefSeq lists it as uncharacterized. The transcript has 3 exons. The record is from RefSeq and is a predicted model, not a curated record. NCBI's taxonomy places the organism in Eukaryota, Metazoa, Chordata, Actinopteri, Cypriniformes, Cyprinidae.